RNAcentral lists this ribosomal RNA (387 nucleotides) under uncultured bacterium. RNAcentral's name for it is "bacterial SSU rRNA". It matches the Rfam family "Bacterial small subunit ribosomal RNA", at positions 29 to 416 of the family's 1533-position model. The record is from RNAcentral.
AUUGAACGCUGGCGGCAUGCUUUACACAUGCAAGUCGAGCGGCAGCGCGGGGGCAACCCUGGCGGCGAGCGGCGAACGGGUGAGUAAUACAUCGGAACGUGUCCCGUAGUGGGGGAUAGCCCGGCGAAAGCCGGAUUAAUACCGCAUAUGCUCUACGGAGGAAAGUGGGGGACUCGCAAGGGCCUCACGCUAUGGGAGCGGCCGAUGUCCGAUUAGCUAGUUGGCGGGGAAAAGCCCACCAAGGCGACGAUCGGUAGCUGGUCUGAGAGGACGACCAGCCACACUGGGACUGAGACACGGCCCAGACUCCUACGGGAGGCAGCAGUGGGGAAUUUUGGACAAUGGGGGAAACCCUGAUCCAGCCAUGCCGCGUGUGUGAAGAAGGCC